CCUGGCUCGGCUUUCGGGGGCUACAGGCUUAACACAUGCAAGUCGAGGGGCAGUUUUUCAGUUUGCUUGCAAACUGGAGAUGGCGACCGGCGCACGGGUGAGUAACACGUAUCCAACCUGCCGAUAACUCGGGGAUAGCCUUUCGAAAGAAAGAUUAAUACCCGAUGGCAUAAUUAGACCGCAUGGUCUUAUUAUUAAAGAAUUUCGGUUAUCGAUGGGGAUGCGUUCCAUUAGGCAGUUGGUGAGGUAACGGCUCACCAAACCUUCGAUGGAUAGGGGUUCUGAGAGGAAGGUCCCCCACAUUGGAACUGAGACACGGUCCAAACUCCUACGGGAGGCAGCAGUGAGGAAUAUUGGUCAAUGGGCGCAGGCCUGAACCAGCCAAGUAGCGUGAAGGAUGACUGCCCUAUGGGUUGUAAACUUCUUUUAUAUGGGAAUAAAGUUUUCCACGUGUGGAAUUUUGUAUGUACCAUAUGAAUAAGGAUCGGCUAACUCCGUGCCAGCAGCCGCGGUAAUACGGAGGAUCCGAGCGUUAUCCGGAUUUAUUGGGUUUAAAGGGAGCGUAGGUGGACAGUUAAGUCAGUUGUGAAAGUUUGCGGCUCAACCGUAAAAUUGCAGUUGAUACUGGCUGUCUUGAGUACAGUAGAGGUGGGCGGAAUUCGUGGUGUAGCGGUGAAAUGCUUAGAUAUCACGAAGAACUCCGAUUGCGAAGGCAGCUCACUGGACUGCAACUGACACUGAUGCUCGAAAGUGUGGGUAUCAAACAGGAUUAGAUACCCUGGUAGUCCACACAGUAAACGAUGAAUACUCGCUGUUUGCGAUAUACAGUAAGCGGCCAAGCGAAAGCAUUAAGUAUUCCACCUGGGGAGUACGCCGGCAACGGUGAAACUCAAAGGAAUUGACGGGGGCCCGCACAAGCGGAGGAACAUGUGGUUUAAUUCGAUGAUACGCGAGGAACCUUACCCGGGCUUAAAUUGCAUUUGAAUAAUCUGGAAACAGGUUAGCCGCAAGGCAAAUGUGAAGGUGCUGCAUGGUUGUCGUCAGCUCGUGCCGUGAGGUGUCGGCUUAAGUGCCAUAACGAGCGCAACCCUUAUCUUUAGUUACUAACAGGUCAUGCUGAGGACUCUAGAGAGACUGCCGUCGUAAGAUGUGAGGAAGGUGGGGAUGACGUCAAAUCAGCACGGCCCUUACGUCCGGGGCUACACACGUGUUACAAUGGGGGGUACAGAAGGCAGCUACCUGGUGACAGGAUGCUAAUCCCAAAAGCCUCUCUCAGUUCGGAUCGAAGUCUGCAACCCGACUUCGUGAAGCUGGAUUCGCUAGUAAUCGCGCAUCAGCCAUGGCGCGGUGAAUACGUUCCCGGGCCUUGUACACACCG
RNAcentral lists this ribosomal RNA (1378 nucleotides) under uncultured bacterium. RNAcentral's name for it is "bacterial SSU rRNA". It matches the Rfam family "Bacterial small subunit ribosomal RNA", at positions 18 to 1392 of the family's 1533-position model. The record is from RNAcentral.